AAAAAAGAGAAAGUAAAGUGUGUUUUAACUAAACAAGGAAAUAUUAAAGAUCACACAGGCAGCAGGAAACAUUUUUCAUCCAGCAUCUGACUAGAAUCAUGGUUAUGCCUUAAGAAAUUAACUUAGCAACAGAGGAGAAGACAAGCUAUAUGUAGAAGAAGAUUAACGACAGGUUGAUACAAUCACCCAAACAAGAGCCAUGAUAAGACGUGUUUGCUUUCUCUUCACCUUCCACCAUGAUUGUAAGUUUCCUGAGGCCUCCCAGCCAUG
Molecule: long non-coding RNA, 270 nt
Organism: Symphalangus syndactylus (siamang)
Lineage: Eukaryota; Metazoa; Chordata; Mammalia; Primates; Hylobatidae
Source: RefSeq, a predicted model, not a curated record